RNAcentral lists this ribosomal RNA (254 nucleotides) under uncultured bacterium. RNAcentral's name for it is "partial 16S ribosomal RNA". It matches the Rfam family "Bacterial small subunit ribosomal RNA", at positions 524 to 776 of the family's 1533-position model. The record is from RNAcentral.
UACGGAGGGGGCGAGCGUUUGUUCGGAAUCAUUGGGCGUAAAGGGCGCGUAGGCGGCCUUGCAAGUCGGGUGUGAAAUCCCUCGGCUCAACCGAGGAACCGCACUCGAUACUGCCGGGCUAGAGUCCGGGAGGGGAUGGUGGAAUUCCCAGUGUAGCGGUGAAAUGCGUAGAUAUUGGGAAGAACACCGGUGGCGAAGGCGGCCAUCUGGACCGGUACUGACGCUGAGGCGCGAAAGCUAGGGGAGCGAAUGGG